This 253-nucleotide ribosomal RNA is filed under the name uncultured bacterium. RNAcentral's name for it is "partial 16S ribosomal RNA". It matches the Rfam family "Bacterial small subunit ribosomal RNA", at positions 524 to 776 of the family's 1533-position model. The record is from RNAcentral.
UACGUAGGGGGCGAGCGUUGUCCGGAAUUAUUGGGCGUAAAGCGCUCGCAGGCGGUCCCGUGCGUCGUGCGUGAAAGCCCCCGGCUCAACCGGGGAACGGCGCGGGAAACUAGCAGGCUUGAGUUCGGGAGAGGGAAGCGGAAUUCCGGGUGUAGCGGUGAAAUGCGCAGAUAUCCGGAGGAACACCGGUGGCGAAGGCGGCUUCCUGGACCGACACUGACGCUGAGGCGCGAAAGCUAGGGGAGCAAACGGG